This 25-nucleotide ribosomal RNA is filed under the name Trichoderma viride. Its description in RNAcentral is "partial 18S ribosomal RNA". The record is from RNAcentral. Lineage: Eukaryota; Fungi; Ascomycota; Sordariomycetes; Hypocreales; Hypocreaceae.
GGCGGGAGACGCGGAGGAUCUUACG